RNAcentral lists this ribosomal RNA (397 nucleotides) under uncultured soil bacterium. RNAcentral's name for it is "bacterial SSU rRNA". It matches the Rfam family "Bacterial small subunit ribosomal RNA", at positions 26 to 405 of the family's 1533-position model. The record is from RNAcentral.
AGAUUGAACGCUGGCGGAAUGCUUUACACAUGCAAGUCGAACGGCAGCACGGGACUCAGGCAACUGAGCCCUGGUGGCGAGUGGCGAACGGGUGAGUAACAUAUCGGAACGUACCCAGUCGUGGGGGAUAACUCUCCGAAAGGAGAGCUAAUACCGCAUACGUCCUGAGGGAGAAAGCGGGGGACCUAAGGGUAACUGAGGGCCUCGCGCGAUUGGAGCGGCCGAUAUCGGAUUAGCUAGUUGGUGAGGUAAAGGCUCACCAAGGCGACGAUCCGUAGCGGGUCUGAGAGGACGACCCGCCACACUGGAACUGAGACACGGUCCAGACUCCUACGGGAGGCAGCAGUGGGGAAUUUGGACAAUGGGCGAAAGCCUAGAUCCAGCCAUGCCGCGUGUG